GAUGAACGCUGGCGGCGUGCCUAAUACAUGCAAGUCGAGCGAACGGACGAGAAGCUUGCUUCUCUGAUGUUAGCCGCGGACGGGUGAGUAACACGUGGAUAACCUACCUAUAAGACUGGGAUAACUUCGGGAAACCGUAGCUAAUACCGGAUAAUAUUUUGAACCGCAUGGUUCAAAAGUGAAAGACGGUCUUGCUGUCACUUAUAGAUGGAUCCGCGCUGCAUUAGCUAGUUGGUAAGGUAACGGCUUACCAAGGCAACGAUGCAUAGCCGACCUGAGAGGGUGAUCGGCCACACUGGAACUGAGACACGGUCCAGACUCCUACGGGAGGCAGCAGUAGGGAAUCUUCCGCAAUGGGCGAAAGCCUGACGGAGCAACGCCGCGUGAGUGAUGAAGGUCUUCGGAUCGUAAAACUCUGUUAUUAGGGAAGAACAUAUGUGUAAGUAACUGUGCACAUCUUGACGGUACCUAAUCAGAAAGCCACGGCUAACUACGUG
This 497-nucleotide ribosomal RNA is filed under the name uncultured bacterium. RNAcentral describes it as "partial 16S ribosomal RNA". It matches the Rfam family "Bacterial small subunit ribosomal RNA", at positions 28 to 507 of the family's 1533-position model. The record is from RNAcentral.